RNAcentral lists this unclassified non-coding RNA (1609 nucleotides) under Leishmania donovani. RNAcentral describes it as "gene:LdHU3.33.1420(CDS-product:hypothetical_prote in_conserved)". The record is from RNAcentral. Lineage: Eukaryota; Euglenozoa; Kinetoplastea; Trypanosomatida; Trypanosomatidae.
CGGUUAACAUGGCCGCGCUCGUUGGACGCUGCUGCUAAUGGCUUGAGUCGGUCAUGGCCGCCGCUGCCGUUGUGGAGCAAAGGUAUCACGCUACAUACACGUUACGGUGUGCGCACGUGCUCGGAUGGUGCGCCGCUUGGCGAUACCCCUACCGCCUUUCUUCUUUUUCCCUUUUACAAUGCUGCCCUUUGCCAGGGUAAUGCGCAAGGCCGCCUCGGCCACGCCGCCGCUGCCCCCUCCACCACCGCGAGUGUUGGUCUUGACAAUGAUUCCCAACGGCGGCGCGCUUAGCCCCGCUCUCCGCAUGCUCGGCUAUCACCCCUACACCUUUGAGGACAGCGUACGCAAGGGCCGCCUGCUGACUCAUCCGCAGGAGUGGAUGGCGGUCAUGCGUGGGGAGAAGAAGUUCGACUUUGAGGUGCUCAAAGCUCCUCAGCAUACGGCAUCCACGGAGGCGGUGCCGUCGUCGUCGGGUGACCCUUGCGCGUCAAGGACGCCAGAGUGUGCGACGGCUAGCACGGCGCCGUCUGCGUCUCCACGGGCUCCGCUCUUCUUUGACUCGUUGGUCGGCCCCCCCGCCACCGUCGCCUUCGAGUCCAUCCUCAAGGAGUGCCCACGCAGCACACGCGUCAUUCUCGUGGAGGAGCCGGACAAGCUGGCGUGGGAGAAGGACAUGGAGCAGUGGCUCCAGCCGUUGGUGCGGGAGUGCAAGAAGAGCGCAAUGUGGUGGAACGCGUCGAAGCUGCACAUGAUGCUGCUUGACAUGGUCGACCUGCGCCGUGCCCUCAUCAGCCCCAUCAACCAGCGGGGUGGCCGUGCACGCCCGUUGCCGUCCUCGUUCGCUGCCAUGACGGCGCAGAACGUGCCCAUCUCGAAGCAGCACUCGACACUUCGCCUCUCUGGGGCCCUCGACUUGUUCGAGCAACACGUAAAGGAGGUGGUCCCGCGCGACCGGCUGCUCGUGUACAGGGUGCGCGAUGGGUGGCAGCCGCUGUGCGACUUUUUGCAGGUACCAGUGCCGAUGGCACCAGCGACGGUAGGCGGUGCUCCACCAGAGCCGGUGGCGUUUCCGCCCAACUCCACUGGUAGUGACAUUCUUCUCUUCGUUCACCAGGGCUUUAAGAAGAGCACCGCUGUCGUGUGGCUUCUUUUCCUGGUUGUGGUGGCACUCGCGCUGCUACUGCUCAGCUCCUUUACCGAGGAGUAUACGCAGUUUUACCGCGACUACCGCGACUACGUUCACCGCGACUUGGAGCCGUACAUGGACGCUGAGAAGGUUCGUGAAGGCGACGAGUCUGCCUUGACGAUACGCCAGGCACUGGUCAUGGCGAAGAAGUCGUCGAAGCGAUUUGGCGAAGAAUACGAGAGGGAGGGCGGUGCCAUGGGCUCCAUGUCCGGCUUGAUGGAGCGCAUCGUCGGAUCGAAGUAAACGGCGCGCGUCUCUCUCUCUGACGGUGAGCGAUGUGUGUUUUGAACCCCUGCGCGUCGCACCCUGGCUCUUUCUGAUUCACAGACGUAGCCCCCCUCUCCACUCUCUCUUAGAUAAUGAGCUGGAGUGCAUGCACGCGCUCAGUGCUCCGCUUAGCGUGGUGCGCCAGAGCGGGGAAAC